This 253-nucleotide ribosomal RNA is filed under the name uncultured bacterium. Its description in RNAcentral is "partial 16S ribosomal RNA". It matches the Rfam family "Bacterial small subunit ribosomal RNA", at positions 524 to 776 of the family's 1533-position model. The record is from RNAcentral.
UACAGAGGGUGCGAGCGUUAAUCGGAAUUACUGGGCGUAAAGCGUGCGUAGACGGUUAUUUAAGUCGGAUGUGAAAGCCCCGGGCUCAACCUGGGAAUUGCAUUCGAGACUGAAUAGCUAGGGUGCGGUAGAGGGAAGCGGAAUUUCCGGUGUAGCGGUGAAAUGCGUAGAUAUCGGAAGGAACAUCAGUGGCGAAGGCGACUUCCUGGCCUGUUCUUGACGCUGAGGCGCGAAAGCUAGGGUAGCAAACGGG